AUGGGCACUGGCACAUAUCUUUUGGACAAAGAGCACCUACCCAUCUAUCCUGACUUUGAGGACAACACCAUUGUGAUGAAUGAAAAUGAACCAUCGUCUGUGCAAGCACAAGAGAAGAAAGAGAAAGCAAGGACCGAGAAAGCUGCUAGGAUGCCAACUGCUGAAGAGGGAUCUCAGUAUUUUCUGAAGAGCAAGCAAGAUCAGCUUGUCUACUUGAUUGCCUCCACCUUGAGGAUUGAGAAGGGCUUGGCCACCCUGACUCAAAACCAGGAGAGCUUGGAGAGAAUCAUAGAGCAGAAGUUUUAUGAUCUUGAUGUCAAGGUCACUGAGAUCCAAUCAGUUGUUGAGCAACUUCAGGAGGAAGUGGAGGAUAAGAAGGGCAAGUCUACUAUAGAUGCAUUUGCUAGAGUGCCCAGAGGACAAAGAUCUGCUGCAAUGCCUAUCCCAGAAACCAGAGCUACAUCAUCUGCACCAGCAACCGCUUCAGUGCCACCAGCUCUAGCAGCCACUCCACCAACUCCAGCUUCAUCGACUGAUGCCUUCGUUCUUGGAGUCAUCUCUACACCACCGCUUGAAGACCAAGCCUGA
RNAcentral lists this ribosomal RNA (588 nucleotides) under Triticum aestivum (bread wheat). Its description in RNAcentral is "partial small subunit ribosomal RNA". The record is from RNAcentral. Lineage: Eukaryota; Viridiplantae; Streptophyta; Magnoliopsida; Poales; Poaceae.